This 1542-nucleotide ribosomal RNA is filed under the name Escherichia coli. Its description in RNAcentral is "bacterial SSU rRNA". It matches the Rfam family "Bacterial small subunit ribosomal RNA". Lineage: Bacteria; Pseudomonadati; Pseudomonadota; Gammaproteobacteria; Enterobacterales; Enterobacteriaceae. The record is from RNAcentral.
AAAUUGAAGAGUUUGAUCAUGGCUCAGAUUGAACGCUGGCGGCAGGCCUAACACAUGCAAGUCGAACGGUAACAGGAAGAAGCUUGCUUCUUUGCUGACGAGUGGCGGACGGGUGAGUAAUGUCUGGGAAACUGCCUGAUGGAGGGGGAUAACUACUGGAAACGGUAGCUAAUACCGCAUAACGUCGCAAGACCAAAGAGGGGGACCUUCGGGCCUCUUGCCAUCGGAUGUGCCCAGAUGGGAUUAGCUAGUAGGUGGGGUAACGGCUCACCUAGGCGACGAUCCCUAGCUGGUCUGAGAGGAUGACCAGUCACACUGGAACUGAGACACGGUCCAGACUCCUACGGGAGGCAGCAGUGGGGAAUAUUGCACAAUGGGCGCAAGCCUGAUGCAGCCAUGCCGCGUGUAUGAAGAAGGCCUUCGGGUUGUAAAGUACUUUCAGCGGGGAGGAAGGGAGUAAAGUUAAUACCUUUGCUCAUUGACGUUACCCGCAGAAGAAGCACCGGCUAACUCCGUGCCAGCAGCCGCGGUAAUACGGAGGGUGCAAGCGUUAAUCGGAAUUACUGGGCGUAAAGCGCACGCAGGCGGUUUGUUAAGUCAGAUGUGAAAUCCCCGGGCUCAACCUGGGAACUGCAUCUGAUACUGGCAAGCUUGAGUCUCGUAGAGGGGGGUAGAAUUCCAGGUGUAGCGGUGAAAUGCGUAGAGAUCUGGAGGAAUACCGGUGGCGAAGGCGGCCCCCUGGACGAAGACUGACGCUCAGGUGCGAAAGCGUGGGGAGCAAACAGGAUUAGAUACCCUGGUAGUCCACGCCGUAAACGAUGUCGACUUGGAGGUUGUGCCCUUGAGGCGUGGCUUCCGGAGCUAACGCGUUAAGUCGACCGCCUGGGGAGUACGGCCGCAAGGUUAAAACUCAAAUGAAUUGACGGGGGCCCGCACAAGCGGUGGAGCAUGUGGUUUAAUUCGAUGCAACGCGAAGAACCUUACCUGGUCUUGACAUCCACGGAAGUUUUCAGAGAUGAGAAUGUGCCUUCGGGAACCGUGAGACAGGUGCUGCAUGGCUGUCGUCAGCUCGUGUUGUGAAAUGUUGGGUUAAGUCCCGCAACGAGCGCAACCCUUAUCCUUUGUUGCCAGCGGUCCGGCCGGGAACUCAAAGGAGACUGCCAGUGAUAAACUGGAGGAAGGUGGGGAUGACGUCAAGUCAUCAUGGCCCUUACGACCAGGGCUACACACGUGCUACAAUGGCGCAUACAAAGAGAAGCGACCUCGCGAGAGCAAGCGGACCUCAUAAAGUGCGUCGUAGUCCGGAUUGGAGUCUGCAACUCGACUCCAUGAAGUCGGAAUCGCUAGUAAUCGUGGAUCAGAAUGCCACGGUGAAUACGUUCCCGGGCCUUGUACACACCGCCCGUCACACCAUGGGAGUGGGUUGCAAAAGAAGUAGGUAGCUUAACCUUCGGGAGGGCGCUUACCACUUUGUGAUUCAUGACUGGGGUGAAGUCGUAACAAGGUAACCGUAGGGGAACCUGCGGUUGGAUCACCUCCUUA